Molecule: long non-coding RNA, 485 nt
Organism: Cotesia glomerata
Lineage: Eukaryota; Metazoa; Arthropoda; Insecta; Hymenoptera; Braconidae
Exons: 3
Source: RefSeq, a predicted model, not a curated record
UUCGGUUCCAUUGGAAGUGAACUCUUUACAAUUGAACUAGUGGCAAAUUCAUUUCCUUACUCUAGUCGAAGUCACUAUUUAGCUCGCGCUCACAAUGAGACUUAUAAAAUUGUGAAAGUUCCAGUGCUGAAUGAAAGUUUACAAUCAAUACCUGAAGUAGUUUAUCCGGAAUUGCUGUUAAUAAUUGACUAUAAGAUGUAUGCAAAGUACAACAAAAACCAAAAACUGUUUCCUUACUUAUUAACGUUUUGGAAUAUUGUUAAUAUAAUAUUUCGGUCAUUGAGAGAUCCAAAAAUAAAAAUAAGUAUCAGUGGGAUCAUGAUAGCUCAAGAUGAUAAAGUUAUUCAUUAUAUGAGUGGCAAUCAUUCUGAAUAUGAAGAAACAUCUCAUAUAAGCUACGGAGAAACUAUGAUCAACGCAUCUGCAUAUUUAUACAGUAGACAAAAUAUUAUUCCACUUGAUACUUAUGAUAUAUUUGUAAUAUC